RNAcentral lists this long non-coding RNA (3868 nucleotides) under Homo sapiens (human). RNAcentral describes it as "HSALNT0335338". Lineage: Eukaryota; Metazoa; Chordata; Mammalia; Primates; Hominidae. The record is from RNAcentral.
CUGAGAUGGAAACCUUGUUGAGUCUGAUGCCUAACCCCAGGUUAUAAACACUGCACAAUAGUGUGUCACUGGAGAUGUGGCAGUAUUUUCACAGCUGGCAACCAAGGACCAAUCUUGGAGGCAACUCUCCUAUCUACAGUAGAAAUGGUAUUUGGGGUAACUAUCUAGGCUUAUUCAAAGGAACAGGAGGAAAGGGGGCAGCUGGAGAGAAGGUAGUUGCUUAACACCUGACAGAUGUUAUUACAGCAAUAAACAAGCCCAGCAAAUCCUCCUUCCCUCUUUAGAACAUUUGUCUCCAUGGUGAAAUAAUGCAAAACUGGGCAAGAAUCAGUCAUAACCUGGGAGAAGGGAGGGCUCAGGGUCACAGAGGCUUAGCAGAGUCCUCUUUGCUGACUCUGACUCAUCAAUCCCUGAGGAGUUAAGCACUUGCUUAACAGCUCUCCCAGUCAUUUCAAUAGGCAACAGGAGAAGGGGACAGAGCAAGCAGGAAUCUCAUGCCAUUGUAAAGUUUUUAGAUUUGAUUUGGGAUUUCUCAGUCUCCCCUGUGAGCAUUGCAAAAUAUUUCUGCCCAUUCUGGGUAUGAUUAAUCUAUCCAAUCCACAUGAAAAUUACCAUAUUGAGUGCUCCAAAAAUAUUCUGUGUUGAAGAAUCAGUUUAUAAGUUAAUUCCAUUGUAUAGAAUUAAUAAUAAUUAAUUCUACUCUCAAAGGCAACCCUAUGAUGUAGGUAUUAGUAUUUUCAUUUUAACAGAUGAAGAAUUUAAAGUUUGGAGAGCGGAUAAGCAACUUGCCAAAAAUCACAAAGCUGGGCCCCCAGUCAAAUCUAGUUUGGCAACCGCCAGAACCCAUGCUUUCAACCAUUCGCUACUGUCUCUUAUGACUACCAUGAACUUGGAAAUGGCACUGAAGAUAGAAUUCCAAAGAUGUCAGCACCUUGACAGAAUAUUCUUCCCUGGAACUCAGCCACCAAUCAGUGAAGAAGCCCAAACAGCUACAUGGAGAGGCUCACAUGGAAAAGAACCCAGGCCCUCGGCCAACAGCUUCAACUUAGCUCCCAUAUGGCAGCCAGAAUCAACUGCCAGCCACAUGUCUGAGGCCAUCUGGACCCUCAAGCCAUCCUAGCACCCCAGGCAACACCACAUGAAGCAGAAGGAUUGUCCUAUCCAACUAAAAUGGGAGAAAAAAAAAAUAAAAGCAAGGUUUAUAGGCAGAGGUCACUACAGAGUCAACCAUCGUGGUUUCUGACAAGCCUUUUCCAGCUCUGCAGUCCAGAGAUCCUGAACACGAUCAUCUUCUCUAUGUAAUUUCCCAUUCCCUUAAAAUUCCCUUGGAUUCACUUUGCGGAGGGCAGAGAGGUGUGCUUGAUAUGGUGUUUUCUUCAUCUGAGGCCAAAAGAUGGAGCAUCAGGGUAGAAGGAGAAAUUCUUAGAGGAAGCAGGAAAGAGGAGUCCGAGUUGACCACUGGAUGUUUUUUUCUCCUAAUAAUGGUGCCCAAACUUCUUUUUCACCAAGGCUGAAUGGCCAUCCGCAAAAUCUCCAACCUAAGAGACGGUUUCAUCUACUUCCAGGCAAAACUGACAAUGUGAAAAUACCGGAGUCACUGAGCAAAUUCACUCCAGCCUGUGCUGACUGAGACUUACAUCUUACAAUUAAGCAGUGUUUUGUCCUGCCUUACAAAUCAGUAGUUUCCUUAUUGCUUAACAUAAAUACAUCUUAUCAAAAGGAAAAACAAAAUCUUCAUAAAAUAAUAAAACUAUAUAAUGCUACUUGAUACUGCUCUAUCACAAUUUGAGAAUAUCAAACAUGAAUUGAGUAAUCAUCAUUUAUGGGAAAGGAGAAGUGAUUUGAAAUAGUGAUAUUGCCUGGCCCUUCAAUUUAUAAAGUCACAAUGUAAGAAGAAAUGGCGAAAUACAGAAGGAAAUUGAGUUACAGACUAACCCAGGAGGCUGACAAGUAAAAUCCAGAGCGUUCUGGGUUCUGUGCUGCUUCCAUGUCCUCAAGGGAGCACAUCACUCUCACUGUAGUAGACACUACUAUACAGUACCCAUUCUCCCCUUCUUUCUUACUUUAGGGGAAGCAGUUGUGUUCAGGUUAAACACACACCACCACCACCAUUUUCUGGCUUUACUUGUAACUCCAGAUGUCCAUGUGACACAGUUGCGAUUUAAGAUGUAAGCGGUGUGUGAUAGGGUGGGUUCCUGGAAAACGUUGUUUAAAGGGAGUAAAUGUGGCCAGCCCGUGCCUCUUUCCCUUCAUCCUUUUCCUCCUUUCCUGAAGACACCGUGUUGGGAAAUAGAGGAGCCAUCUUACAAUCAUGAGGAAGAGUAGCUGAACUAAGGGUGUCAGGGCAAAAGAAAAAAGCCCUGUGUGUUUCAGCAGGUGUCAUUCUGAUCAUUUGAGCCCAACACAGUCUCUAAUUGACACACUCAUCUCUGUAAAUGAGGAACCUCCUGGAAACUGACCAGAGUCACACACGAUACGUAAAAGAGCCAUGAUUCAAGUCCACGUCUAUUUUCCAGGCGCCCAUUCUUUUUCUUCUUUGUCCCUACUGUUUGCCUCUGCUUCCUCAGUUGAGACCUAGAACUUAUGGUGUUUUCUAGUAGCUCACAACUCCUGGUAAAAGUUCCUGAAAAUGAUUCAUUUCACAAUACUAAAUGACAGACUUAACCUCCUGUUUGAUCUUGUCAUGCCAAAGUGAGUUCAAAGGUAUUCUUUGAACUAGUCCUCAUUGAAACAUUGAAGGAAAUUCAGAGCAAGCUUCCUAAAGAACAGGGCAUUAGUACUGGGCUGUGAAGGUUUCAGGGAUUUCGACCACUGAGGUCAUAGAAGGAAAGGCAUUUCAAGCAAAGAGGACACUUUGAGUGAAAGCAUAAAGAAGGUCAACCCCAGUUUGGCAGGAGCAAAGGAUACGUAAAGAGCUAUACUCACUUUUUUAAAGUUUUUAUGCACUAAAUAUUUCCAAAAAUGAUUCUGGAGGUGACAUACAGUAAACAAUGGAAAUUCAAUAAAACCGCAAAACCAAAAUAAAAAUGGGAAUUAUUUAUAGUGCUGAAUAAUAAACCUGGUAGAAGAUACUAGUACCAGACAACCUAAACUAAGGAAAUCUUCAGCAGCUGAGUGCAAAACUGAAUUUAACUUUCCGGCAGCAAAAGCAAAAAAACAAGAAUGUAAUGUGUUGUAUUGUAGCAUCAAUAAAUGGCAGAAACAGUUUUCCAAGAAUUGAAAGCACUUACUGAGUAUCAAUUACACUGUAGGUUAUUUUUAAUCUAUGUGCAGAACUGCAAGCCUGGGAAUUUUGUUCAAUGCAGUGAGGCUAAAUAGACAGGAAAGGUUGAAAACUACUGUACUAGGAGAUGGAGGUACAAAGAGGAAUAAGACACAGAACCUGCCUUCUAGAAAUUUCUAAUCCUAGAUGAGGGAGAUGAAGAAAUGAAGGCUUAUUGGGUACAAACUAUGUAAUGGGCAUCUUUAAUCUCAUUAAGUCUUAGUAAAUCCUCAACACAUCGCCUCAAGAGUAGCUGUUAUUUAUUAAUUGUCCCACUGGCAGAUAGGAAAACUAAGUUGUUGAGAGGUAGAGUGCAUGGCCAAUGGCACAAAGCUAGUAAGAGAUGGAAUCAAAAAUUAAUCUCAGAACCAUUUGAUGCCUUAAAUCACAUGCUCUUGACCCAGAAGUUUCUAAGUGUAAGAAUAGCAAAUGAAUCUUUUUCUUUUCAGGUGGGGGUACACACUCUUGUCCUAGUGUCUUCUCCCAAGUCCCUUUCCAUGCGGGGCGAUCCCCAGAGACCCCAGCUUGUGCAAUUUAGAUCCACAGGGCCAAAUGAUGUCUCUCUCCAAAUUUAGAUUUUCCUGGCUCUGAUUGCUGAGGUUAUCC